UCUAUUUCAUACUAUUCUUCUCAUACUAUUCUCUUGUCAUUUUAUCUUCUUCUAUAAACUUUUGGCAAUUGACAAGGGCUUGUUCUUUCUCUCCCUGGGGUCAUGCCCAAAGAAGGAGGAUUGAUAGCGAGCUAUAAGAAUUUUAUUUUGGAGUCGUGCAUUGUCGAAAGUACCUGCACGAAGGGGAGGCCACAUGACUUUACAACAGCGAUUAUCGCGACUCUCUUAGGCCAGCAUUUAACUUUAUUCUCAUAUUUACUUCAUUUGAUUCAUGCUUGUAAUUGAUAGUACAUUACACAAAUCACGUUAAUUUUUACAACAAUGUAUCCAAAUGAAGAGUGUCACUUAUUAAUCGCACAUGUUAAAAAAAUUAACACGGACAGAGACACAUGAGAGUGUGAGUCCAAUCAGUCAUCUAAUUUUAGAAGCUCUAAUCAAAUUAGAAAAUCAUAACCGUAUUACCUUAAUAAUGAUUCUGUCUCAAUGCAAGAACUAUGUCCACUUGUUCUUACAAAUUUACGCUACAAGAAGUGAAAAUGAUUACAAUUACAAUCUCACACUUCUUAAUUUGUGCGUCGGAUAGGAACUGACCCUUUUAGUGCACUUGAACAAAAAAUAUACCUUCAAAAAUUCGUGAUAAAAAACAUGUGUUAUAUUUAAGUUAACACCAAGAGAGGAUAAUCAGAUGCAGUUGUCCAUGUUGAUGCGAAUGGAAAGCCUACCACCCAUAACAAUAAAAUCACAAUAAGGAAAAAGACAAAAGAAUGUGUAAGUUUUAUAUUGGUUUGUCUCAAUAUGAGAUUAGCUCAAAAUUUGUCAUUACAAUAUUUUACUAUGAUAAAAGAAUUUUACAAGGGAAAAAACCUCAUAACCUAUUUUCUCCAUUAUAACUAGCUAAACCCUCAUAACGACUCACUACUUAGUACUUACAGAAAAAUUAGAGCAAUAAUUAGAUUUCACAACUUAAUACAUACACUCGUCGAUAAAGUCCAUAAAUGUAGCAAAUCAAUUUCUGUUUAGCAGCAAAGUAACACUAUUUGACAAGAUAAUCAAACGAGCAUACCUGGUUGAUUUGGUAAAGUAGAUUGUUAGUCUAAUGGAGAAAAAUAUUAAAAAGGAAAAGAAGUUAUUGUUUCUAAUGCUGCAUAUGAAACAUACCUUACCUGAAUAAAUCUAACCCUUUUUGAGACCUAUGGUGGCUGCAUAUAUCAGGGUUUUGAAUUCAAUGUGCCUUUUGUCCCUGAAACACUGUGUCAAUGAAAUAGUUCUUUCCAUAGAGAGAAAUAAAGGACUGAGAGACUCACUUCAUUUGCAGUAUGAAAAUGUGAUCCUUUAGCCUUGGUAGUACUCAUUUCUCGCAAUCAUCGUAGAACUGACAUGUGAAUAUGAGAUUGAAAUGUAGCCAAUGAUGACUCUCCGAAAAGACACCCCUAGAAUAUUGUCCCAUAAUUCUAUGGGCUCCCAACAUUUUUCAUAUAAACCUUUGACGAGCUCGUCGGCAAGUCAUCCUUGGCUACACCAUCCACACAUCUUAUCCACAUGCAAGACCUAAGGUGAUUACAAUCUUCUGAAGGAAGAACCAAGAAAUGUUUUCAAAAACUCAAAAGUAUUUGAUGUAAACUGUUAAAUUCGAGAGAUUUAAGGUUAUAUAUUGUAACUAAAAAAGAGAAGUUCAGUAGGGGAUGUGAUGGGGUGGGUUGGGGGGUCAUUAUUGGAGUAGUAUGAGAUCAUGUAGGGUAGGGCAAGGUUGAGGAAUUC
This 1758-nucleotide long non-coding RNA is filed under the name Olea europaea subsp. europaea. The record is from RNAcentral. Lineage: Eukaryota; Viridiplantae; Streptophyta; Magnoliopsida; Lamiales; Oleaceae.